GUAAGGAAUAUUGGUCAAUGGGCGGAAGCCUGAACCAGCCAUGCCGCGUGCAGGACGACGGCCCUACGGGUUGUAAACUGCUUUUGCCCGGGAAUAACCCCCCGCUCUUGAGCGGGGCUGAACGUACCGGGAGAAUAAGGAUCGGCUAACUCCGUGCCAGCAGCCGCGGUAAUACGGAGGAUCCGAGCGUUAUCCGGAUUUAUUGGGUUUAAAGGGUGCGUAGGCGGCCUGUUAAGUCAGGGGUGAAAUACGGCAGCUCAACUGUCGCAGUGCCCUUGAUACUGACGGGCUUGAAUACCGGUGAAGGCGGCGGAAUGAGACAAGUAGCGGUGAAAUGCAUAGAUAUGUCUCAGAACCCCGAUUGCGAAGGCAGCUGCCUAACCGGCGAUUGACGCUGAUGCACGAAAGCGUGGGGAUCGAACAGGAUUAGAAACCCUUGUAGUCC
This 445-nucleotide ribosomal RNA is filed under the name uncultured bacterium. RNAcentral's name for it is "partial 16S ribosomal RNA". It matches the Rfam family "Bacterial small subunit ribosomal RNA", at positions 354 to 796 of the family's 1533-position model. The record is from RNAcentral.